This 234-nucleotide ribosomal RNA is filed under the name bacterium. RNAcentral describes it as "partial 16S ribosomal RNA". It matches the Rfam family "Bacterial small subunit ribosomal RNA", at positions 547 to 780 of the family's 1533-position model. The record is from RNAcentral.
GGAUUUAUUGGGUUUAAAGGGUGCGUAGGCGGCCUAUUAAGUCAGGGGUGAAAUACGGUGGCUCAACCAUCGCAGUGCCUUUGAUACUGAUGGGCUUGAAUCCAUUUGAAGUGGGCGGAAUAAGACAAGUAGCGGUGAAAUGCAUAGAUAUGUCUUAGAACUCCGAUUGCGAAGGCAGCUCACUAAGCUGGUAUUGACGCUGAUGCACGAAAGCGUGGGGAUCGAACAGGAUUA